CAGCAGCCACGGGAAUGCGAAGGGGGCUAGCGUUGCUCGGAAUGACUGGGCGUAAAGGGCGCGUAGGCGGAUUGUUUAGUUAGGCGUGAAAUUCCUGGGCUUAACCUGGGGACUGCGCUUAAUACAGGCAGUCUAGAGUGAGGAAGAGGGUUGUGGAAUUCCCAGUGUAGAGGUGAAAUUCGUAGAUAUUGGGAAGAACACCGGUGGCGAAGGCGGCAACCUGGUCCUUGACUGACGCUGAGGCGCGAAAGCGUGGGGAGCAAACAGGAUUAGAGACCCCAGUAGUCCCUGUCUCUUAUAA
This 301-nucleotide ribosomal RNA is filed under the name uncultured bacterium. Its description in RNAcentral is "partial 16S ribosomal RNA". It matches the Rfam family "Bacterial small subunit ribosomal RNA", at positions 509 to 809 of the family's 1533-position model. The record is from RNAcentral.